RNAcentral lists this ribosomal RNA (440 nucleotides) under uncultured bacterium. RNAcentral describes it as "partial 16S ribosomal RNA". It matches the Rfam family "Bacterial small subunit ribosomal RNA", at positions 338 to 795 of the family's 1533-position model. The record is from RNAcentral.
CCUACGGGUGGCAGCAGUGGGGAAUAUUGCACAAUGGGGGAAACCCUGAUGCAGCGAAGCCGCGUGAGUGAAGAAGUAUUUCGGUAUGUUAAACCCUAUCAGCAGGGAAGAAAAUGACGGUACGUGAUUAAGAACCCCCGGCUAACUACGAGCCAGCAGCCGCGGAAAUACGUAGGGGGGAAGCGUUAACCGGAUUUACUGGGUGUAAAGGGAGCGUAGACGGCAGCACAAGGCUGGAGGUAAAUGCCGGGGCUUAACCCCGGAACUGCUGUUGAAACUGUGCAGCUAGAGUGCACGAGAGGUAAGUGGAAUGCCUGGUGUAGCGGUGAAAUGCGUAGAUAUUACGAAGAACACCAGUGGCGAAGGCAGCUUACUGGACUGUAACUGACGUUGAGGCACGAAAGCGUGGGGAGCAAACAGGAUUAGAUACCCGAGUAGUC